CUUGUUUUGGAGGGAACAAGAAAUAGAAGAGAUGCUUCGGAAGUAAAAGUUGUCAAUGACAAGCCUGACAUCACCCAGAUGAUAAUUCAAAGGCCAGCUCUUUUUACAGUAAACCAGGAUGCAGCUGACAAGACAGACUCCAGUACGAAUCCUCAGCGUUGAUCAAGAAAGUCCACAGCUCAAAACCCAUCUAGAGUGGAAAUCAUCUUGGAAGAAAAUUUUGUAAUGGAUGGACUGACCGAUCUCAGGCCUUCUGUGUCCAUUGUUUUCAGACUGAUUUAUGCCCUGCACCUGGACUAAGUGUAUGAAAAGCACUUUAUAUUUUACUCAGCAGGUAAUGCUCAACCUCAGAAAAGGUGAGUUAGCACCUAAAAUUCAGUACUGCCAAAAUUGUGAACCGAGAGUGGAAUAAAACCAUAAAAGGUUUGUUAAACUA
Labeo rohita (rohu) is the source of this 436-nucleotide long non-coding RNA. RefSeq lists it as uncharacterized. NCBI's taxonomy places the organism in Eukaryota, Metazoa, Chordata, Actinopteri, Cypriniformes, Cyprinidae. The record is from RefSeq and is a predicted model, not a curated record. The transcript has 3 exons.